GACGAACGCUGGCGGCGUGCUUAACACAUGCAAGUCGAGCGGAAAGGCCCUGCUUUUGUGGGGUGCUCGAGUGGCGAACGGGUGAGUAACACGUGAGUAACCUGCCCUUGACUUUGGGAUAACUUCAGGAAACUGGGGCUAAUACCGGAUAGGAGCUCCUGCUGCAUGGUGGGGGUUGGAAAGUUUCGGCGGUUGGGGAUGGACUCGCGGCUUAUCAGCUUGUUGGUGGGGUAGUGGCUUACCAAGGCUUUGACGGGUAGCCGGCCUGAGAGGGUGACCGGCCACAUUGGGACUGAGAUACGGACCAGACGCCAACGGGAGGCAGCAGGGGGGAAUAUUGCACAAUGGGCGGGAGCCUGAGGCAGAAACGCCGCGUGCGGGAUGACGGUCUUCGGGUUGUAAAACGCUUUAGCCUGUGACGAAGCGUGAGUGACGGUAAUGGGUAAAGAAGCACCGGCUAACUACGUG
Molecule: ribosomal RNA, 468 nt
Filed under: uncultured bacterium
Lineage: Bacteria
Description: partial 16S ribosomal RNA
Rfam family: Bacterial small subunit ribosomal RNA
Source: RNAcentral